RNAcentral lists this long non-coding RNA (2092 nucleotides) under Mus musculus (house mouse). RNAcentral's name for it is "long non-coding RNA chr6:38404757-38406849". Lineage: Eukaryota; Metazoa; Chordata; Mammalia; Rodentia; Muridae. The record is from RNAcentral.
AGUUCAGGUAUUCUGCAAGAACAAUUCUAUUGUGUAGAGGUUUUUUUUUUUUUGUUUUUUGUUUUUAAUACAAAAUUCUAACCAUAAAACUUACUCUUUUGUUUAAAAAAGCUCCAAUGUAAUAGAGUUAUUUCUUUUCUGACAAACACAAACAAUGGAUUUGGCAUGGGAAACUUCUUUCUCUAGAAAAGCUUUUGUUAAGGUCCUGGAAAUACACCCUCAUCUCUUCUAGAAUAGCUUUUGUUUGCUUGUUUGUUUGUUUGUUUGUUUGUUUUUCUGGGGACAGGGUUUCUCUGGGCAGCCUUGGCUGUCCAGAAGCUCACUCUGUAGACCAGGCUGACCUAGAAGAUCUGCCUGCCUCUGCCUCCCCAGUUCUGGGAUCAAGGUACGUGCUACCACUGCCUGGCCAAUUUUUUUUUAUUGUUGUUCUUUGUUUUGUUUUAAUUUUGAUUUCUCUAGUUAGGGUCUCAUAUACCAUAUCCUCAGGAUGGCCUUGAACUCACAUAAAUCUUCAAUCUUUCUGCCUCAGUCUUCCCAGUGUUUGGUUUAAAAAGCAUCUUACAACUAUAAAAGCAGUUCAAGGUUAGGCUGCUGUUGGGCAUGGUCCCCCACCUAUAACUAUAGCACUUGGGAGGCCAAAGCUAUUCAACAGCCCAGGUUACACAGUGCAACCCUUUCUCAACAGCAGGCAGACAGGUGGGCACGCAAACAGAUGGGUGGAUAAACUAAGGCUCUUAUCCAUGUUAAUGUAUUAAGUUCUUCAUGAAACAAAGGAUACAAUAAAUAAAUCUUUCCUCUCUGAGUCCCUUCAUAUAGGUAGGCAGCAAAUACUUACUGUUGAGACGAAUGAGUCUAAUAAGUAAUCCUUGUUCUGUCUAUAGCACCUUUACAAAGUUCAGACACAGAGUUACAUAUUUGUUGAAUGUGUAAAUUUACUUAAUUAAUGAAUUUUAGAGUGGAAUUUUGAGGUUAGAGUUUUCUUCUCUAACUGAUUCUACCUGUGUUCACACAAUUCUAGAUUGUAAUUUUCUAGGUACUGUGCUAAUAAGAACUUGAGCAUGAUAUAAAACAAGGAUAUGUGUUAAAUGACACACAGAAAAAUGCAUUACAGUCAUAAGUACAAUAUAAAUAAAAUAUUUGUACCUGCUGCCUCUCUACGAGUUCUGUUCUGUUUUGCAGAGGGAUCAUAUGAAAAUUGCCCAGCAGUUUUUCCAGUUGGUAGGAGGAUCAGCUAGUGAAUGUGGUAUGUCUAUGAUCUGUCCUUUUGAACACAGUUCAUAUUUGCAGUUGGACAAUAUUGACUGGUGGAGUCUGCGUGUCUAGAGAUAUAUGUUAUGCUUCUUGCUAUGAAGCAACAAGUUAGAAAUUGGAGAGGAAGGCUGAGGAUGUAGCUCAUUUUGUAGUUUGAUCAACUAGCACUUGGGAAGCCUUGGGUUUGAUCCCUUAGCACCACAUUAAGUAAACAUCAUAGGUGGUACCUAUAAUUCUAGCCCUCGGGAAAUAGAAACAGUACCAUUAGAAGCUCAAAGAAUAAUUAGCUCCACUGUGAAGGAUAUCCUGGGUCACAGGAGACCCUGUUGCAACAAUCACACACACACACACACACACACACACACAAAUAAACACAACAAUAAGAGAAAAUAUCAGCAUUUUCCCUUUUGAACAUACCAGUGAAAGAGGAUAAGAGAGGGCUAGAGAGAUGGUCAGUGGUUAAGAACAUCUGCUGCUUUUCCAGAGGAGUCAAGGUCAGUUCCCAGUACCCACAUCAGGUGGUUCACAACUGCAUGUAAGCCCAGCUCCAGGGGAUCCAGUAUUCCCUUCUGGCCUCCACAGGCCCCUGCGUUCACAUGUGCACAUACGUAAAAUACAAAUAACUUUGUUUUAAAAAAUGGAUAUGAGAUUAGAGAAAUGACUCGUCAGCUAAGAGCACUGUUUGCUCUUACAGAGAACCUGAAUUCAACUCCCAACACCCACAGGACAACUCACAACUGUGUGUAACGCCACUCCUAAGAAACUGAUGUCUUCUGGCCUCCAUGGCAACCAGGCACACAUGAUAAACAGACAUAUGUUUAAGCAAAGCACUAAUACAUGC